UAUCGGUUCACACUCCUAGUGGCGGUAGUGGGCGACUUCUUUGCAAUCCGUCAAAAAAAAAAAAACGAAGACGACUUUCAGCGGUAGAUGAGUGGAAGAGGUUAUGGAUACAGAAGUCCAUAAGCAGGUUAUGUUAGGAAGGGCAAGCAAGGCGAGCUCCGUAGAAUUUAUUCUGAAGCAAUGCAUCUGGGAUUUUGCAGUGUCCACUGCAUGCAAGUCUAUUGUGCUGAAUGAAUGAUUGUACAUAAUUUGAUUCAUCAGAAAUAAAAUAAUUUACCCACCCUGAGAUUUCAAAUUAAUACAUUGAUUUGUGUAACAUGUUCUGAAGAACAUUAGUCUGUCAUUUGCUGUAAUUUGAUUUAAAAAAAAAAAAAUGCAGUACAGACAAAUGGUAACUGCAUUUUCUUAACAGUACUCAACAUUUUCUUUAUGAAUCACACAUUUACCUCCUAAGUGCAAUUGCAUCUCACUUUAAUGUUCCUUGGUAGGCUACUGUAGAAUUGUAGAAGUGAAAUGUUAUAUCCAGAAAUAUGCUUAAAUUACUACAGUUAAAGGAUUUAAAAUGACACCAUCACGAAGCAUGGCAAAAGGUGUAAAGACAUGAUUUCAAUGUUGAGAG
Molecule: long non-coding RNA, 619 nt
Organism: Onychostoma macrolepis
Lineage: Eukaryota; Metazoa; Chordata; Actinopteri; Cypriniformes; Cyprinidae
Exons: 3
Source: RefSeq, a predicted model, not a curated record